This 492-nucleotide ribosomal RNA is filed under the name uncultured bacterium. RNAcentral's name for it is "bacterial SSU rRNA". It matches the Rfam family "Bacterial small subunit ribosomal RNA", at positions 28 to 518 of the family's 1533-position model. The record is from RNAcentral.
GAUGAACGCUGGCGGCGUGCUUAACACAUGCAAGUCGAACGAAGCAUUUUAGCGGAACAUUUUCGGAUGGGAAGUUAAAAUGACUGAGUGGCGGACGGGUGAGUAACGCGUGGAUAACCUACCAUAUACAGGGGGACAACAGUUGGAAACGACUGCUAAUACCGCAUAAGCGCACAGUGCCGCAUGGCACGGUGUGAAAAACUCCGGUGGUAUAUGAUGGAUCCGCGUCUGAUUAGCUAGUUGGUGAGGUAACGGCCCACCAAGGCAACGAUCAGUAGCCGACCUGAGAGGGUGACCGGCCACAUUGGGACUGAGACACGGCCCAAACUCCUACGGGAGGCAGCAGUGGGGAAUAUUGCACAAUGGGCGAAAGCCUGAUGCAGCGACGCCGCGUGAGCGAAGAAGUAUUUCGGUAUGUAAAGCUCUAUCAGCAGGGAAGAAAAUGACGGUACCUGACUAAGAAGCCCGGCUAACUACGUGCCAGCAGCCGAC